Molecule: ribosomal RNA, 696 nt
Filed under: uncultured Bacteroidales bacterium
Lineage: Bacteria; Pseudomonadati; Bacteroidota; Bacteroidia; Bacteroidales
Description: bacterial SSU rRNA
Rfam family: Bacterial small subunit ribosomal RNA
Source: RNAcentral
AACGCUAGCUACAGGCUUAACACAUGCAAGUCGAGGGGAAACGAUAUUGGAAGCUUGCUUCCGAUAGGCGUCGACCGGCGCACGGGUGAGUAACGCGUAUCCAACCUGCCCAUCACUUGGGGAUAACCUUGCGAAAGUAAGACUAAUACCCAAUGACGUCUCUAGAAGACAUCUGAAAGGGAUUAAAGAUUUAUCGGUGAUGGAUGGGGAUGCGUCUGAUUAGCUUGUUGGCGGGGUAACGGCCCACCAAGGCGACGAUCAGUAGGGGUUCUGAGAGGAAGGUCCCCCACAUUGGAACUGAGACACGGUCCAAACUCCUACGGGAGGCAGCAGUGAGGAAUAUUGGUCAAUGGACGAGAGUCUGAACCAGCCAAGUAGCGUGCAGGAAGACGGCCCUAUGGGUUGUAAACUGCUUUUAUGCGGGGAUAAAUUGACUCACGUGUGGGUCAUUGCAGGUACCGCAUGAAUAAGGACCGGCUAAUUCCGUGCCAGCAGCCGCGGUAAUACGGAAGGUCCGGGCGUUAUCCGGAUUUAUUGGGUUUAAAGGGAGCGUAGGCCGGAGAUUAAGCGUGUUGUGAAAUGUAGACGCUCAACGUCUGCACUGCAGCGCGAACUGGUUUCCUUGAGUACGCACAAAGUGGGCGGAAUUCGUGGUGUAGCGGUGAAAUGCUUAGAUAUCACGAAGAACUCCGAUUG